This 1610-nucleotide long non-coding RNA is filed under the name Panax ginseng (ginseng). RNAcentral's name for it is "long non-coding RNA (PGIN_LNC008199)". The record is from RNAcentral. Lineage: Eukaryota; Viridiplantae; Streptophyta; Magnoliopsida; Apiales; Araliaceae.
UCAAGUCUAGCAAACUUGGUACUCUUCUUUAGUUGGUUGAUAAUGUUGAGUUCUUGAUGGUUGCUACUCAGUUGCUGUGUAAGCACUUGUUCUAAAGAACUGAGUAGCUAAGCAAGCUUUACAAUAUCUCAGAUCGUAGAGUUGAGCUUGAGAGAGAUGUUCACGUUGUUUGUUCAAUGCUUGUUUGGUUCUCUCUCAUCUGUCUGAUCUGUAUAUAUGUGAUCUUGAAAACUAUCCGUCGGAUCCAUCCGUUGAGGCAUUGAAUGCGUCUGAACUUUUUGUACUGUGAUAGAGACAUUUCUGCACAUCUUCUGAAUUCUGCAUAGACUGCUUUCUCACCUACCACCUGAAAAGGUGUUUUGUCCCUCUUAUCAAUGGUACUAUCCUUAGCUUCUUCAAUACGCUUCUUUGUUGCAUACUAAGGAUAUUUCAUAUACUCUGGGACUGAUGAGUAUUGCAACGUCUAGAAUCCAUUCCUCAUAUGUUGGAAUCUAUCUUCACUCAGAUCAUGAGGCUCGACGUUCUCUGACACAAGACAGAUGCUCUACGAUUCAUGUCAUGAUACUCUACGAUUCAGAUCGUAGUGCCUUAUCAUCUUGGUGCCUUGUCUGAUGCUAUCAUCCGAGAGCACUACGAUUCUUCUUAAACCUCUGUACACUACGAUCUUCACUUGCUCGUGUUGUUGACUCUACGUUUUUGAGAGCACACUACGAUCGUUGACUUGGCUCGGCAAACGUUGGGACUACUCUACGAUUUCCGAAGAGUCCCUUCAAGGCAGGCACAUUACGAUCUUCAGGCUCUACGUGUCUGCCUUGACUUCUGCAAUGUUGAUCAAAUGAUACACUACGAUUUCUUUGGAGCCUAUCUAUUACAUCUCAAGAUCAACCUAACAGCUUUGAUCUUUCUAUCUAUACAUUCUAUUACAGAAUGACACACGUUAAGAUCUUAGAUCAACCUAACAAAUUUGAUCUACCACUAAGUCCUUGUACAUAUCUUAUUUGGAAGGACUUUAUAAAUAAUCAUGAGCAUAUACAUUUAAACAUCAAAUCAUAAUAUGUAUUCUCCCAACAAGAUGUUGCCGAUACCUGUAAUGGAUCCUCCACUUGAACUUCUCUGCCUGUUCUGCUGCAGUCCCUACUGAGGUUCCCGCAAAGCCUGCCAACCUGGUGAACCUCGUCAUAAAAUUCGUGAUGGACUUGUCAUCUUUCUGUGGAAUGGACAGAUAGUCUCUAGCAUAGGCCUCUUUAUCAGCAGCUGGGAAGUACUGCUGAUAAAAGACCUCACAAAACUCUGCCCAACUAAGUGCCUCAAUAUAACCAUCACCCUUUGUUACUUUCAUCGCUUUCCACCACCUCUGUGCAUCCCCUUCUAGCUUGUAAGCUGCAAGCAACACUUUUUGAUUAUCUGAGCACCCCAACACAUCAAAGAUCUUCUCUAGGUGAGCAAUCCAAUUCUCUGCAUCAAUUGGAGUCGGAGCUGAACUGAAGGCAUGUGGUUUCUACUUCUAAAACCUCUCCAACCAUACAUACAUCGGAACCACCUGCUAAUCAUGACCAUCUGUAUUCCCUUCCUCAACAUUUGCUUGCUGACCAUUAUUUCCCGGAUUCCCU